CCUACGGGAGGCAGCAGUGCGGAAUAUUGGUCAAUGGUCGGGAGACUGAACCAGCCAAGCCGCGUGAGGGAUGAAGGUACAGAGUAUCGUAAACCUCUUUUGUCAGGGAACAAAGGCGGGGACGUGUCCCCGGAUGAGUGUACCUGAAGAAAAAGCAUCGGCUAACUCCGUGCCAGCAGCCGCGGUAUUACGGAGGAUGCGAGCGUUAUCUGGAUUUAUUGGGUUUAAAGGGUGCGCAGGCGGUCUGUAAAGUCAACGGCAAAAGCCCGGGGAUAAACCCCGGCCCGCCGUUGAAACUGGACGCCUUGAGUUCACAACAGGCAGGCGGAAUUCGUGUUGUAGCGGUGAAAUGCAUAGAUAUCACGAGGAACCCCGAUUGCGAAGGCAGCCUGCCGGGGUGCAACUGACGCUGAGGCUCGAAGGUGCGGGUAUCAAACAGGAUUAGAGACCCUUGUAGUC
RNAcentral lists this ribosomal RNA (459 nucleotides) under uncultured bacterium. RNAcentral's name for it is "partial 16S ribosomal RNA". It matches the Rfam family "Bacterial small subunit ribosomal RNA", at positions 338 to 795 of the family's 1533-position model. The record is from RNAcentral.